Molecule: ribosomal RNA, 389 nt
Filed under: Paenibacillus sp. VC29
Lineage: Bacteria; Bacillati; Bacillota; Bacilli; Caryophanales; Paenibacillaceae
Description: bacterial SSU rRNA
Rfam family: Bacterial small subunit ribosomal RNA
Source: RNAcentral
AAUGCGAAGAACCUUACCAGGUCUUGACAUCCAACUAACGAAGCAGAGAUGCAUCAGGUGCCCUUCGGGGAAAGUUGAGACAGGUGGUGCAUGGUUGUCGUCAGCUCGUGUCGUGAGAUGUUGGGUUAAGUCCCGCAACGAGCGCAACCCUUGACUUUAGUUGCCAGCAGGUAAGGCUGGGCACUCUAGAGUGACUGCCGGUGACAAACCGGAGGAAGGUGGGGAUGACGUCAAAUCAUCAUGCCCCUUAUGACCUGGGCUACACACGUACUACAAUGGCCGGUACAACGGGAAGCGAAGCCGCGAGGUGGAGCCAAUCCCAGCAAAGCCGGUCUCAGUUCGGAUUGCAGGCUGCAACUCGCCUGCAUGAAGUCGGAAUUCCUAGGAAU